AAAAUGUUGGCAAACAAUUCAACGUCGGUGAGUACAGGCAGAGGCAACAAUAGUUUUCAAAAUCGAAACUCGCAGAGAUCCACCCUCUUAAAAGUGGUGAUUCUUGGAGAUGGUGGUGUUGGAAAGUCCUGUCUUAUGAAUAGAUUCGUGUCGAAUCAUUUCGACGAACACAGUUUUCAUACCAUCGGAGUAGAGUUCCUGAACAAGGAUAUUGAGAUCAAUGGCGAGGCAUAUACGUUGCAAAUAUGGGACACAGCCGGACAGGAGAGAUUUAAGACUCUCAGAACACCAUUUUAUAGAGGCUCAGACAUUUGUCUGCUUACUUAUGCAGUAGACGAUAAGACGAGUUUUAGAAAUCUCGCGCUAUGGAGAUCUGAAUUUCUUAAGUAUGCAGAUGUUCAGGAGGGUUCUACUUUUCCAUUUAUUGUUGUUGGCAAUAAGGUAGAUGUUCCUGAAUCCGAGAAACAAGUUUACAUGGAAGAAGCUCAAGCUUGGUGUUCAGAGAAUGGUAAUCCUCCAUUAGUUGAAACAUCAGCAAAAGACGCCACUAAUGUCGAGGCAGCUUUUGGGGCAGCGGUUGACGCAUGGGCGCGAUUGGAAGCUAGAUUAGAGCGGCCUUUAGUGGAAGACACUGUCGAUCUCUCUAAACAGCAGUCCCAGCAUCGUACGAGCUGCUGCAUGUCUAUUUCCGGCACGGAAUCUACAUUUGUGACCAGAUAAUUGAAAUGGCUGGUAAGAAGAUUGACACAAUAUACAGUCUUUAUGUGAUGCACACCAACAUUUCUGGAACAAUCGUUUAAAGUUUUCUUUAUGUUUGGAAGAGGGAUACACAACGUCGCACUAUUAAACUCGUAGAAACGAUGCUUACUCUAUUUAGGAUCUAUAAGGAUACAUGUUACACAGUAGAACUGUCUAACAAAGUAAUUUGAAGAGAAUCUCUUGCCUCUGUCUACAAUACUCUCUUCAUUAUAUGGUGAACUUUCUUUAUUGACACUGGAAUUGCAUCAGUUGUGUAUACAUGGGAUAUUGUUUAAAAUUUUUUAUUUAGAAAACCAAUUAGAAUCUCCAAAAAAUAUAUGGAUCGCAUAAGAUAUUAUUAGCAAUGAAUAUGCGAUUUCUUUAUUGGCUGGCUUAUAUUCUUUUUCUUAUGAAUCUUAACAAAAUACUCGAGCCACAAAAAUCGUAUAUAUGACAAAUAAUAUAUUGUGAUUGAUCUUUCCAGAAUAUAACCUAAGAUAUAAGAUCAGAUUAAACGUCCUUAUUCUAUCAACGCUUUGUGCAGCUUUUAAGCUACUGACAGUAUUUUAAGUGUUUAAUACACUAUUGGCUUGUGAUAAAGUACUAACGAUGAUAAUAAUAAUAAUACAUAUAAAUUAUUACAUAAGAGAUAGACGUAAAUUAUAAUUUUAAUCUAAAUUUGCCUUAUUCUCGCGAUAUGCACCUGAUAAUAAAAGCAGUAAAACAACGUGAUUUUUAUUUAAGAGAUCUUGCUAUGAAUUUAUAUUGCCCAUAUUUAUAUGCGAAUUUGAUGUUUGUACAAAAUGCAAUAGCAUAUGCUUGUCUGGUCUUGAAAUAUUCUGCAUUCAAUGUCUAACGAUUUUCCUACAAAAUUAACAUUAUGAAAGUAAAGCUUUUUGUAACGAUAGCGGAUGUAUACGAUGCGUUUCUACAUUUCACAUAUCUUAUUCAGAUGGUACUUGAGUCAUUAAAAAUGCCAGUACAAGAAAAAAGUAUGUACUAAUGAUUUCUCAAUGACAUAAUUCGAUUAAUUGCGUAUGAAAUAUGCAUGCUGGUGCUUUUUAUAUAUGGCUAUGAUUGUGAUCAAAAUCUUGUUACAAAAAGCUUUGAAGUGAGUUUGAUUGAUAAAAAAAAAAAGAACUUUACGAAUUGACCAAUCAAAAAACGCUUUAAAGUAUUUGUAACAUCACGUUGAUCGUACUCUAUAUAUGGAAUAUAUAAAUUUAUGAUACAGCAUAGAAUGAUAAUACUAGUUAAGAUGUUAAGCGUAUAAAACUAAUCAUAUCAAGGUGACGACCACCUCAUUAUUACCAUAAAUUAGGUAUUCUUACGCCAAAUCUUUAUACAAAAUCUAUGAAUUAUUUUUAAAGGAUACACUGCUGCAUAUAUAUAUAAAAAUCUUAUUUGUGAACAAGGC
This 2155-nucleotide unclassified non-coding RNA is filed under the name Acromyrmex echinatior (Panamanian leafcutter ant). RNAcentral's name for it is "ras-related protein Rab-9B, transcript variant X3". Lineage: Eukaryota; Metazoa; Arthropoda; Insecta; Hymenoptera; Formicidae. The record is from RNAcentral.